Molecule: ribosomal RNA, 492 nt
Filed under: uncultured bacterium
Lineage: Bacteria
Description: partial 16S ribosomal RNA
Rfam family: Bacterial small subunit ribosomal RNA
Source: RNAcentral
GAUGAACGCUAGCUACAGGCUUAACACAUGCAAGUCGAGGGGAAACGACAUCGAAAGCUUGCUUUUGAUGGGCGUCGACCGGCGCACGGGUGAGUAACGCGUAUCCAACCUGCCCAUCACUUGGGAAUAACCUUGCGAAAGUAAGACUAAUACCCAAUGACAUCCCACGAAGACAUCUGAAUGGGAUUAAAGAUUUAUCGGUGAUGGAUGGGGAUGCGUCUGAUUAGCUUGUUGGCGGGGUAACGGCCCACCAAGGCAACGAUCAGUAGGGGUUCUGAGAGGAAGGUCCCCCACAUUGGAACUGAGACACGGUCCAAACUCCUACGGGAGGCAGCAGUGAGGAAUAUUGGUCAAUGGGCGAGAGCCUGAACCAGCCAAGUAGCGUGCAGGAUGACGGCCCUAUGGGUUGUAAACUGCUUUUAUAAGGGAAUAAAGUGGGUCUCGUGAGACUUUUUGCAUGUACCUUAUGAAUAAGAACCGGCUAAUUCCGUG